RNAcentral lists this ribosomal RNA (477 nucleotides) under uncultured bacterium. RNAcentral describes it as "bacterial SSU rRNA". It matches the Rfam family "Bacterial small subunit ribosomal RNA", at positions 28 to 504 of the family's 1533-position model. The record is from RNAcentral.
GACGAACGCUGGCGGCGUGCCUAACACAUGCAAGUCAACUUGACUGAAGGAGCAAUCUGACAGUAGAGUGGCGCAAGGGUGCGUAACGCGUAAGUAACUUGCCCAAGGUAAGGAAUAACGUCGAGGAAAUCGGCGCUAAUACCUCAUAAUGCAGCGGAUCCGCAUGGAUAUGUUGUUAAAGGUUUACCGCCUUGGGAUAGGCUUGCGUCUGAUUAGCUAGUUGGUGUGGUAACGGCACACCAAGGCUACGAUCAGUAACUGGUCUGAGAGGAUGAUCAGUCACACUGGAACUGAGACACGGUCCAGACUCCUACGGGAGGCAGCAGUGAGGAAUAUUGGGCAAUGCUCGAAAGAGUGACCCAGCAACGCCGCGUGGAGGAUGAAGGUAUUCUAUAUCGUAAACUCCUGUGAGAGCAGACGAAAGACAGAUUAUUAAUCUGGAUGACUGUAUGCUCAGAGGAACGCCCGGCUAACUAC